Long non-coding RNA from Magnolia sinica, 2677 nucleotides. RefSeq lists it as uncharacterized. The record is from RefSeq and is a predicted model, not a curated record. Lineage: Eukaryota; Viridiplantae; Streptophyta; Magnoliopsida; Magnoliales; Magnoliaceae. The transcript has 3 exons.
CUCUUUUUUCUUUUUUCUUUUUAGGGGGUUUUCUGUAAAUUUGUAUAAUAGUAGAAGUUGUUGUUCCCCGACCUGUUGUUCCUUAUAUAUAUGGAGAGGCUGGAGGCUGUUUAAAAUAGAUCCGUCAGGUCUGUUCUAAGACUUGUGAUGAUUGUGAUUGGCUAAGCACUUGUUUCCUUGAUGCCUUGAUACUGACCAAUCAAGGCAAUUUCAUAUUCUUAGUGCAAAAAUUAAACUAGAUCUUGGAAGGAUUGCGAAAUGAGUGUUGAUGAAGGCCUUUGACGAUGAAGAAAAUCCUUAUCUUCCAAAGGAUGGUUCGACAUGGAGAACGAAUGACUUCACUGAUAUUGAUUCAUAUCCGAUAGCUUCUUCAUCUGAAAUGCGAUUUUGGGAACGGCGUCUUCAUAUGCAUUGCCCUUUGUUUUAGUUGAUGUCAUUAUUGUUUGGAUUGCUAGUCUAAUAACCCAAUUUACUCCGAAGGAAAAGCAUACUUGUGCACUGCGCCAACCAUCAUCAUGAUCAUCAUCGCCUUCUUCCAGAAAUUUGGGGUCGGCCAAUAAAUGGGUUCAAUAGAGAUCAACCUUCAUCUUUUACUCAGGCUCAUCCGCCCAACUAAUACAGAGGACCCCAAAGUUCUGGCAACUAAAGGAACAGUGCACACAUACAAAACACAUGAAGUUCCCCCAUAUGUGAUUCCAAUUUAUUUGAUUAAUUUAGAAUUAUCAUGCAGUACACACAGAUGCCCAAGGGGUACUGUGUGUGGAUGACAGCAAGGCAACUAAUGUGGAGGCAGCAUAUGUUGGACUGAUGGGUCUUGAAGUAAAAAAAAAAAAGUCUAUGGUUCUUCUAGGUGGUGUUGCAAAAGUAUACAUCCAGUUUGGUGUUUGUAGUCUUGUAGGACUUGAACAAAAAGUUGGUGAAGGAUAUCCCAUGUUUUGUUGUUUCUCUAGGAUUUGAACAUGCAAGAUUCCAGUGGUUUCGAAAAGCUGGUAGAACCAUUGAAGUACCACAUGUGUUGUUACUGUAAGCAUCCUCCUCUUGCUUCCAAAGGCUGUAUAUAUAACCAUUUUAAGUUGCAUGUUUGUUUCUUUUUCCUAAAACCGUGUUCCAUCUCUGCAUUUGGUGUUUAUGCUUUCAUCAUUCAUGAAUCUUUCUCAAAAUAGCUUACAGACUAAUAAAAUCUUUGGAUGAAUGUCCUAGUUUGGAUCUUCAGGAAAAAUGAUUCAGAAGACGUAUGAUUGUGGUCUUAUGUGCUGCCAGCCUCACACAAUACAGUGUGGCCCCUGGCCAUGGGGCCACCUUGAUGCAUGCUAGUAUAUUCAUGCUGUUUUUUGGUAGCUCAUUUUAAGACAUGAGCCCAAAAAUAAAGAAGAUAAAAAAUUUAGGUGAACCACCACCAUAGGAAAUAGUGGGUGAUGGAAUGCCUACUAUUAAAAUUAAUGUUUGUCUUUAAAAUUCACAUUGUAUUGUCUUUUUUUUUUUCUUUCUUUUUCUGCAGCAAGUGAACAUGUUUGUUUUAACUCUACAGCUUCUUGAUUCUAGAAUUCCCAUUCUCAGGCCUAACUGCAUGCUGGUAAUGGAUUUGUCUGUGGCCUGCUGUUUGAUUCAAAACUACCCUACUGUUGGGGCAAUAGCAUAUACAUCCAAAUGGGUGUCCCUCAUCCAAUGGCUGAAGAAGCUUCCUACUCAAAAAUCAGUGUUGGGGACCACCAUAUCUGCGAAUUGAGAUUGCUCGCGAAAGGGACGUAUGCAAACAUCUCCAUGGUUGGGCUUAGAGAAGACCAGACAUGAGUACAAUCAAGAGAGUUUUUGCACCAACUUGGUAUGUGGCUAAUAUUGCACUCAAUUGCAUGUGUGGCUGUCAAUGGAUACCUGAUGAAUCCAACCCAAUGUUAAUACAUCUGGGUCUCAUUUAUGGGACCCAUUAAGCAAUUGGGACUGGUUCAGGUCUCAACUUUAGGACCUGAUUAAAAAUCAGGUCUAGGUACUGUCCAGUUUGGGUCUAGGUGGUUUUAAUAGUAAAUUAUAUAUAUAUUGUAUGCAUUUAUUAUUCUAAUAAAAGAAAUUUCACUUCUAGCACUUUAUUUUUUUGGUUGAAUGUCAUAUCAUCUCUUUCAUUAGAUUGGUUUUGGUCUAAUCUUUCAAUCAUUCUCUAACUGUUAAAAGGAAAUAAAUUUCCAUCUGGAGUUGGUUAUGAGUGUAGUUUUCUAUGUAACUGUUAAAAGGAAUUCAAUUUCCCCCUCUUUUGGUGACUCAAACAGAAGAAGCCAUCUCAUAAUUGAGGUUUUGCUAUAACCUGUGUUGUUUUCUAAGUGCACAUGUUUUCAUUAGUAUAUUUAUAUUUUUACCAAUCUGUAUUUUCUUUCAAGCUUUGAUUUCUCGGUAUCUUAUGUAGGUUGCUUCAAAUCAUUAUGGUUAUUCUGUUAUUGUAUUUGGUGAACUCAUGGAAUUCCAUGGAACUGAUUGAAUGGAAGGAGCUUCUGUUGUUCAUACAAGUCAUGUUUCUGAUUUUUUUGGAUGAAUUGGGUGUGUGAAAUUGCAUGGAACUGAUCAAAUGAACAUGGAAUUUCUAUUGGGAAGAAACACUGACUCCUCGGAAGGCCGUAGACAGUACGGUCAUUGGAUUCUCCACAAGUUGUAAGAGUUCCUGUCAUACCUUUUAGUAAAUUUGUUUGUU